UACGAAGGGGGCUAGCGUUGCUCGGAAUUACUGGGCGUAAAAGCGCACGUAGGCGGUCUUUUUAAGUCGGGGGUGAAAUCCUGGAGCUCAACUCCAGAACUGCCUUCGAUACUGGAAGACUUGAGUCCGGGAGAGGUGAGUGGAACUGCGAGUGUAGAGGUGAAAUUCGUAGAUAUUCGCAAGAACACCAGUGGCGAAGGCGGCUCACUGGCCCGGUACUGACGCUGAGGUGCGAAAGCGUGGGGAGCAAACAGGG
This 256-nucleotide ribosomal RNA is filed under the name uncultured bacterium. RNAcentral's name for it is "partial 16S ribosomal RNA". It matches the Rfam family "Bacterial small subunit ribosomal RNA", at positions 524 to 777 of the family's 1533-position model. The record is from RNAcentral.